RNAcentral lists this ribosomal RNA (453 nucleotides) under Lachnospiraceae bacterium oral taxon A17. RNAcentral describes it as "bacterial SSU rRNA". It matches the Rfam family "Bacterial small subunit ribosomal RNA", at positions 28 to 483 of the family's 1533-position model. The record is from RNAcentral. Lineage: Bacteria; Bacillati; Bacillota; Clostridia; Lachnospirales; Lachnospiraceae.
GAUGAACGCGGCGGCGUGCUUAACACAUGCAAGUCGAACGAGAGAUACAGGAGGAAGUUUUCGGACGGAAUCCGGUAGAUCGAGUGGCGGACGGGUGAGUAACGCGUGGGGAACCUGCCUCAUACAGGGGGAUAACAGUUGGAAACGACUGUUAAUACCGCAUAAGACCACAGAGUCGCAUGACUCAGGGGUAAAAACUCCGGUGGUAUGAGAUGGACCCGCGUUCGAUUAGCCAGUUGGCGGGGUAACGGCCCACCAAAGCGACGAUCGAUAGCCGAUUUGAGAGAAUGACCGGCCACAUUGGGACUGAGACACGGCCCAAACUCCUACGGGAGGCAGCAGUGGGGAAUAUUGCACAAUGGGGGGAACCCUGAUGCAGCGACGCCGCGUGAGUGAAGAAGUAUUUCGGUAUGUAAAGCUCUAUCAGCAGGGAAGAAGAUGACGGUACCUGAU